This 291-nucleotide long non-coding RNA is filed under the name Olea europaea (common olive). Its description in RNAcentral is "long non-coding RNA (OEUR_LNC015294)". The record is from RNAcentral. Lineage: Eukaryota; Viridiplantae; Streptophyta; Magnoliopsida; Lamiales; Oleaceae.
AUUCACUACUGGAGAUGUUUUUAAGAAUUGUAUCCUUAAAAUGGAGGAAAGGCAGAGAGUCAAGAGACAUGUUUUUUCUCUAGACUCUGAGACUUCAAUCGGCAAUAAUCUUCAUUCUUCACCAAAAGAAUUAUCUCUAUACCCUAUACGACGAUUCAUAUUUCCCAUUAAUCUCUUGCCGAAAAUCUGAAGUACUCAUUCAUUUUUUCGUCAAUCUUUUUUCGAGACUUGAAUUAAAUUUGCUAGGUUUUAAAAGUGGCCAAGCAGGCUAUCGACCUGAACGUGGGGAUU